AGACCCGAAACCCGGUGAUCUAGCCAUGGGCAGGUUGAAGGUUGGGUAACACUAACUGGAGGACCGAACCGACUAAUGUUGAAAAAUUAGCGGAUGACCUGUGGCUGGGGGUGAAAGGCCAAUCAAACCGGGAGAUAGCUGGUUCUCCCCGAAAGCUAUUUAGGUAGCGCCUCGUGAAUUCAUCUCCGGGGGUAGAGCACUGUUUCGGCUAGGGGGCCAUCCCGGCUUACCAACCCGAUGCAAACUGCGAAUACCGGAGAAUGUUAUCACGGGAGACACACGGCGGGUGCUAACGUCCGUCGUGAAGAGGGAAACAACCCAGACCGCCAGCUAAGGUCCCAAAGUCAUGGUUAAGUGGGAAACGAUGUGGGAAGGCCCAGACAGCCAGGAUGUUGGCUUAGAAGCAGCCAUCAUUUAAAGAAAGCGUAAUAGCUCACUGGUCGAGUCGGCCUGCGCGGAAGAUGUAACGGGGCUAAACCAUGCACCGAAGCUGCGGCAGCGAACGUAUCACUUAAAGCGAUUCAGCGGGUUACGAUUGACGGAGCGAAGCGACGUCAAAGCGUAUACAAAGUCGAGUCGGUUUAAGGAUACGUUCGUUGGGUAGGGGAGCGUUCUGUAAGCCUGUGAAGGUGGCCUGUGAGGGUUGCUGGAGGUAUCAGAAGUGCGAAUGCUGACAUAAGUAACGAUAAAGCGGGUGAAAAGCCCGCUCGCCGGAAGACCAAGGGUUCCUGUCCAACGUUAAUCGGGGCAGGGUGAGUCGACCCCUAAGGCGAGGCCGAAAGGCGUAGUCGAUGGGAAACGGGUUAAUAUUCCCGUACUUGGUGUUACUGCGAAGGGGGGACGGAGAAGGCUAUGUUGGCCGGGCGACGGUUGUCCCGGUUUAAGCGUGUAGGUGUGUGUUCCAGGUAAAUCCGGUUCACUUUAACACUGAGGCGUGAUGACGAGGCACUACGGUGCUGAAGUAACAAAUGCCCUGCUUCCAGGAAAAGCCUCUAAGCAUCAGGUAACAUCAAAUCGUACCCCAAACCGACACAGGUGGUCAGGUAGAGAAUACCAAGGCGCUUGAGAGAACUCGGGUGAAGGAACUAGGCAAAAUGGUGCCGUAACUUCGGGAGAAGGCACGCUGACAC
Molecule: ribosomal RNA, 1130 nt
Filed under: Salmonella enterica subsp. enterica serovar Dublin
Lineage: Bacteria; Pseudomonadati; Pseudomonadota; Gammaproteobacteria; Enterobacterales; Enterobacteriaceae
Description: partial 23S ribosomal RNA
Rfam family: Bacterial large subunit ribosomal RNA
Source: RNAcentral